This 284-nucleotide unclassified non-coding RNA is filed under the name uncultured fungus. RNAcentral's name for it is "partial contains small subunit ribosomal RNA, internal transcribed spacer 1, and 5.8S ribosomal RNA". The stretch from base 1 to 73 matches the Rfam family "Eukaryotic small subunit ribosomal RNA", at positions 1759 to 1831 of the family's 1831-position model. The record is from RNAcentral. Lineage: Eukaryota; Fungi.
GCAAACUUGGUCAUUUAGAGGAAGUAAAAGUCGUAACAAGGUCUCCGUUGGUGAACCAGCGGAGGGAUCAUUACCGAGUUUACAACUCCCAAACCCCUGUGAACAUACCAGUACCGUUGCUUCGGCGGACCACCCCGACCCCUACGGGGCGACGGGCCCGCCAGAGGACACCUAAAAUUCAAAUGUAUCUUGCCCUGAAAAUUUUAUUCUGAGUGGAAUUUUUUAAAUAAAUCAAAACUUUCAACAACGGAUCUCUUGGCUCUGGCAUCGAUGAAGAACGCAGC